RNAcentral lists this ribosomal RNA (468 nucleotides) under Lodderomyces parapsilosis. RNAcentral's name for it is "eukaryotic LSU rRNA". The stretch from base 130 to 283 matches the Rfam family "5.8S ribosomal RNA". The record is from RNAcentral. Lineage: Eukaryota; Fungi; Ascomycota; Pichiomycetes; Serinales; Debaryomycetaceae.
UACUGCAUUUUUUCUUACACAUGUGUUUUUCUUUUUUUGAAAACUUUGCUUUGGUAGGGUCGUUGGGGCCUGCCAGAGAUUAAACUCAACCAAAUUUAAAUUGAUAUCAACCGAUUAUUUAAUAGUCAAAACUUUCAACAACGGAUCUCUUGGUUCUCGCAUCGAUGAAGAACGCAGCGAAAUGCGAUAAGUAAUAUGAAUUGCAGAUAUUCGUGAAUCAUCGAAUCUUUGAACGCACAUUGCGCCCUUUGGUAUUCCAAAGGGCAUGCCUGUUUGAGCGUCAUUUCUCCCUCAAACCCUCGGGUUUGGUGUUGAGCGAUACGCUGGGUUUGCUUGAAAGAAAGGCGGAGUAUAAACUAAUGGAUAGGUUUUUUCCACUCAUUGGUACAAACUCCAAAACUUCUUCCAAAUUCGACCUCAAAUCAGGUAGGACUACCCGCUGAACUUAAGCAUAUCAAUAAGCGGAGG